GCGACCCCAGGACGGGCGAGGCCACCCGCCGAGUUUAAGC
RNAcentral lists this ribosomal RNA (40 nucleotides) under Maxillaria lutescens. RNAcentral describes it as "partial 26S ribosomal RNA". Lineage: Eukaryota; Viridiplantae; Streptophyta; Magnoliopsida; Asparagales; Orchidaceae. The record is from RNAcentral.